Molecule: ribosomal RNA, 253 nt
Filed under: uncultured bacterium
Lineage: Bacteria
Description: partial 16S ribosomal RNA
Rfam family: Bacterial small subunit ribosomal RNA
Source: RNAcentral
UACGGGGGGGGCAAGCGUUGUUCGGAAUUACUGGGCGUAAAGGGCUCGUAGGUGGCCAACUAAGUCAGACGUGAAAUCCCUCGGCUUAACCGGGGAACUGCGUCUGAUACUGGAUGGCUUGAGGUUGGGAGAGGGAGGCGGAAUUCCAGGUGUAGCGGUGAAAUGCGUAGAUAUCUGGAGGAACACCGGUGGCGAAGGCGGCAUCCUGGACCAAUUCUGACGCUGAGGAGCGAAAGCCAGGGGAGCAAACGGG